This 253-nucleotide ribosomal RNA is filed under the name uncultured bacterium. RNAcentral's name for it is "partial 16S ribosomal RNA". It matches the Rfam family "Bacterial small subunit ribosomal RNA", at positions 524 to 776 of the family's 1533-position model. The record is from RNAcentral.
UACGUAGGGUGCAAGCGUUGUCCGGAAUUAUUGGGCGUAAAGAGCUCGUAGGCGGUUUGUCGCGUCUGCUGUGAAAACUCGGGGCUUAACCCCGGGCCUGCAGUGGGUACGGGCAGACUAGAGUGCGGUAGGGGAGACUGGAAUUCCUGGUGUAGCGGUGAAAUGCGCAGAUAUCAGGAGGAACACCGGUGGCGAAGGCGGCUCCCUGGACCGACACUGACGCUGAGGCGCGAAAGCCAGGGGAGCAAACGGG